UACGUAGGGUGCAAGCGUUAAUCGGAAUUACUGGGCGUAAAGCGUGCGCAGGCGGUUGUGCAAGUCUGAUGUGAAAUCCCCGGGCUUAACCUGGGAACUGCAUUGGAGACUGCACGGCUAGAGUGCGUCAGAGGGGGGUGGAAUUCCGCGUGUAGCAGUGAAAUGCGUAGAGAUGCGGAGGAACACCGAUGGCGAAGGCAGCCCCCUGGGAUGACACUGACGCUCAUGCACGAAAGCGUGGGGAGCAAACAGGAUUAGAUACCCUGGUAGUCCACGCCCUAAACGAUGUCAACUAGCUGUUGGGGGUUUGAAUCCUUGGUAGCGUAGCUAACGCGUGAAGUUGACCGCCUGGGGAGUACGGCCGCAAGGUUAAA
Molecule: ribosomal RNA, 374 nt
Filed under: uncultured bacterium
Lineage: Bacteria
Description: bacterial SSU rRNA
Rfam family: Bacterial small subunit ribosomal RNA
Source: RNAcentral